This is a long non-coding RNA of Daphnia magna, 813 nucleotides long. RefSeq lists it as uncharacterized. The record is from RefSeq and is a predicted model, not a curated record. Lineage: Eukaryota; Metazoa; Arthropoda; Branchiopoda; Diplostraca; Daphniidae. The transcript is spliced from 2 exons.
CGUUGACAUACAACAAAAAUGCGUUGCGUCUUUCUUAUUGUUGUGUGCAGACAUGAAACGUUGGGCCUGCGACUCGUAUCGAUCGCUACACAGUUACGUCAUUUUUGUAAUAAAAAGUCAGCGGCAACGUUAACCUUCGUUCAAAUUCGUUUUGCAACUCGUCAAGAACGUCAAAGUCUCUUCUUCUUCUAUUUAACGGAACGGAUCAAAACCCAUAUCAUCCGGUUGGUUGAGAAGAAAAGUUGGAAAGCAUCAAACAGCGCAAGUCGCAAACGCUGACUUGUGAUCUCUCUUGGCAGUCUUCUCUCUCCCCCUAUUGGUUAGGAGGGGGGGAAUGUUAUAUCCACUCCCCUUCUUCUUUUGCCUUCCUUGUUAGCAAGUCCCUCAAGAGUUUGAUCUGCGUCGGCACCGGAGUUUUAACAUCCAAGCAGCUCAUUAGCGUCUCAUCAGUUACGUGUCAUAUAUAUAGGCGAACAUAUUAUGGAGCAUCUGCCCACUUUGGGGAUGUUCCCUCUUUAUUGCCCAUUUGAAUUGUUUAUUUAUUUUAUUUAUUUUUUUAAAGGAAAGAAAAUUGUCUACUCACGAUUUCAGCGUGUCCUUCCCGACAUCCGGCAGCGAAUCUCAUUUGGCGUUCCUCCAUCGGUCGAUCUCGAAAUCCGACGUACCUCACCUGAAUACGUGUGAAAUAAAUCAAAGGAUUGAAUCAAUCAUAAACAUAGUACAACUAAAUGUUUCGUAGAAAUGGGACGUUAAGUUGCCAUGUCAAACAGAUGUAAACAGACAAAUAAAUGAUAAACGUCAUAUAGAAAUGAA